Molecule: ribosomal RNA, 775 nt
Filed under: uncultured Enterococcus sp.
Lineage: Bacteria; Bacillati; Bacillota; Bacilli; Lactobacillales; Enterococcaceae
Description: bacterial SSU rRNA
Rfam family: Bacterial small subunit ribosomal RNA
Source: RNAcentral
GACGAACGCUGGCGGCGUGCGUAAUACAUGCAAGUCGAACGCUUUUUCUUUCACCGAGACUUGUCUCACCGAAAGAAAAAGAGUGGCGGACGGGUGAGUAACACGUGGGUAACCUGCCCUCGAGAAGGGGAUAACACUUGGAAACAGGUGCUAAUACCGUAUAACAAUAACUGCCGCAUGGCAGGUAUUUGAAAGGCGCUUUGCGUCACUCGAGGAUGGACCCGCAGUGCAUUAGCUAGUUGGUGAGGUAACGGCUCACCAAGGCGACGAUGCAUAGCCGACCUGAGAGGGUGAUCGGCCACACUGGGACUGAGACACGGCCCAGACUCCUACGGGAGGCAGCAGUAGGGAAUCUUCGGCAAUGGACGAAAGUCUGACCGAGCAACGCCGCGUGAGUGAAGAAGGUUUUCGGAUCGUAAAACUCUGUUGUUAGAGAAGAACAAGGAUGAGAGUAGAACGUUCAUCCCUUGACGGUAUCUAACCAGAAAGCCACGGCUAACUACGUGCCAGCAGCCGCGGUAAUACGUAGGUGGCAAGCGUUGUCCGGAUUUAUUGGGCGUAAAGCGAGCGCAGGCGGUUCUUUAAGUCUGAUGUGAAAGCCCCCGGCUCAACCGGGGAGGGUCAUUGGAAACUGGAGAACUUGAGUGCAGAAGAGGAGAGUGGAAUUCCAUGUGUAGCGGUGAAAUGCGUAGAUAUAUGGAGGAACACCAGUGGCGAAGGCGGCUCUCUGGUCUGUAACUGACGCUGAGGCUCGAAAGCGUGGGGAGCAAACAGG